Long non-coding RNA from Nicotiana tabacum (common tobacco), 2487 nucleotides. RefSeq lists it as uncharacterized. The record is from RefSeq and is a predicted model, not a curated record. Lineage: Eukaryota; Viridiplantae; Streptophyta; Magnoliopsida; Solanales; Solanaceae.
AAACAAGUUAGUAAAAGAAGUCUUCACUGGUAAUCUUUGAUGCAUAUUUUAAUAUUCUGGUCGCUGAAAAAUCGAGACUCGCCACCAUUCUAUAGCUGCUCUCGGCAUCCAUUUCCAAUUUCUCCGCUACUUUAGGUAACGAAGUCAUUUUCAAGCAAUUGUUGUUUUAGUAUGACGUCAUCUCUGAGAACUCACCGGAGAGGCAACGAGGAGAAGAAUCGGAGGGUAGGUUAUCGGGAAAAUUCAUGUCGAUUCACGGACAGAGCUCGGGGAGCAGUAGUUCGGAGUUGUUGUGAAGGUCAAGGAUUUCUUUCCUUUGCUUAGUCAAUUAGGUGAUCUUAGUUCAAUUUUGAUAUCGUUGAUAGAUUAAAUAUUUGGGAAUUUCUUUUUCAAAUAAUACUCUAUUUUUGGUUUACUUUUACUGUUUAAAGGUUAUUUUCGAAAGAAAUUCGGCUAAAAAAAUAAAUAAAGAGAAGCAGUGCAACAAGGGUCCUGCUAACUUUCUACCUUAAUUUUUUAUCUUCACCCCCGCCUAGCAAGGGUCUUUGUUUUACACUAAUAUUUAAAUGGAAUAUUUGGAGUCUAUGUUUACAAACUUUCUUAGGCAGAAUAAUCUAGUAGACCCCUAAACUUGUUCAUGUUUGAUAUCUCGUUCCUUCUAUUAACUUGUUUUUAUCCAACGAGUGUUCCACCUUCCAACAAAGGCACAUGAGAGGCUUCUUAUGAUCUUGCAACGGGCUAUAGAAGAAGUUGAUUCUGUCAAGGAAGAGCUCAACAAGCUGAAGGAUAAUAAUAAUAAUAUGCGAGCUGGAAAUUUUUCACUUGGAGGUUCUAGUUCACCACGAUUGCAUGUUUCAACCCUCGAGAACAACAUGGUGGGGCACAACAUUGAACAAGAGCUCAUGCGGGGUCAACUUACAGGACACUCGUCUCAGCUGGAAGUCAUCUCUAUUGCUGGGAUGGGCGGCAUUGGCAAGUCAACCUUUGCCAAGAGAAUGUUUAAUGAUCCCUCAAUUGUGAGCUUCUUUGAUGUUCGUGGAUGGGUUACUGUAUCCAAGGACUACAAUUUAAGAAAGAUGCUUCUAUCCCUCCUUCAAGAUGCUGGGAUAAAUGCGGAGCUUGAUAAGAAAAGCGAUAUUGGAGAAGAAGAAGAAGAAGAAGAAGAUGAUGAUGAUGAUGAUGAUGAUGAUGAUGAUGCUGGGAUAAAUGCGGAGCUUGAUAAGAAAAGCGAUAUUGGAGAACACAGAGAAGAAUAAGUGAUGGAAGAAGAAGAAGAAGAAGAUAAGUGAUGGAAGAAGAAGAAGAAGAAGAAGAAGAAGAUAAGUGAUGUACAACUAGAAAAUCGCAUCCAGAAAAGCGAUGGAGAACUAGCAGAUCGCAUCCACAAUUGAUUGUUGUGGAUGACAUAUGGAGCACAGAAGCUUGGGAUGAGUUUAGGCUAUGGUUUCCAGAAUACAAUAAUAGAAGUCGGAUAUUAUUGACUACUCCAGUUGAGGAAUAAUGCCUUUGUAUCAAACAUCGUCUUGGAAGUAACAGAGAUGCAAUUUCCUAAAUUGAAAUUCUUGCUCCUCGAGCAGUUGAAUAUUAGAUAUUGGAGAGCCACUGAUGAUUGUUUCCCAUGCCUUGAGCGUAUAAUUAUAAGAAAUUGCAGGUUUUUAAAAGAGAUUCCCCAAGAAUUUGCAGAUAGUAUGACACUGCAGCUAAUUGAGUUACAUCAAUGUUCUCCUUCCCUUGUGAAUUCUGCUGAGCUGAUCCAGAAAGAGCAAUUGGAGAGUUUGGGGAAUAACAUGCUUAAAGUUUAUGCCUUUGACACCAUUAAAUGCAGAAUCUGGUGAGAGCUAACCGUUUCCACUUACUACGAUUGAACCAAUGCCCAACAUCCCAGAAAUAUGAGCAGCUUGUUUUUCUGUUAAGACACAGUGACACAGAAGUUAUGAGUGGUCCAAAUCUUUGUUUUCUCUGAACUAUAUGCACUCCAGUUCGAAUACUAAAUACAUAUUUGGAGUCGCUGAAUUAUGGGCAACCCAAAGGUGGGAGUCCUAUUGGGGUUAGUUGAUAAAUAAUUUCUGAAAAGUUUGAGGACUUUGCUCGAAUACAGGCAAAUGCAGACUUAGACCUAAUUUCUUGAAGGAUUUGCAUAUACCAUCUUGAGCUAAUAAGAUUCAGAUGCAGUUAAUGAAGAAGCAGCAGAGGGAGAUGUAGAAAAGACGGACAAAGAUUCAGAGGAUGAGUUUUAAGGUAGACUUGUGAGGAAAUUUGCUUUGGUUCACUUAAAAGAUGUUGCUAAAGUUAGCAAACUGCAACUCUUUGUGUUGCACAAGCGCAGUAUCGAGCGAGAAAUGAAAACAACUGGUGCUUGUCAUAUGCUUGUUUUUCUUUUGGUUUUGUUCCUGUUCUUUUGUAUCAAGUAGAAGUGGAUUGUAUUAUCUAAAAUUCUCAAGAAAACUAAACGCAGAAUCUAUAGAGUGAAUCUGUCAUAAUGCUCAA